GGAUUUUCUGCAAGUAAAACGUGUCUGUGAUUGAAGUAAUUGAGAGAAACUAUCGGCCGAUUUUAAAAUUACUUUCCUGCUGACGGAUGCCCGCCACAUCUCUCUCGAUUGCGCGAUUACCGCCACCGUUUCCCAGACGAUCGUGGAGAAAUCGUGAUUUCCAAUCAGCGUUCGAGUAAAAAACUAAAUUUCUUUAUCAUUAUGCUUCGAUCUCGUUUAGUUGGAAAUUAUAUUUUUAUUCUCGUUUCAAGAGAUUCUCAAAUUUAUAAAAAUUUAAUCGUUUUUAUUAUAUAUCAUUCUUCAUAGAUAGAGAUUGAAGAGAGAUUGAAGAGAUUCUUACAUAGAUAGAGAUUGAAAUCGUCGAAUACGUCGAAACAUUAUUUUAUUUUUGCGGUCGAAAAUAGGCGCAGGUUGGAUGAUUCCAAUCCUCUCGAAAUUUCCACGAAUUCGAAAUUCCAUCUCAACCGUUUCCCGUGCGAAAAGUCUCUUUGUUCUCCCCCCUCCCCCCUCUCGAAAAGUGGCCCCAUUCGAUUCCUUCUAAUUCGAGCGCCGAAUAAUCCAUCCUAUCCGCCUCCCUUUUGUCCCAAUAAAAUUCGCCUUUGAAAACUGUAAUUCGCCGCGUGCAACAAUGCUAUCUCUCUCUCUCUCUCUUCCUCUCUCUCUCAAAGGACAAUUUCAUAGAAUCCCAUUUUCGAGUUCGCCUCGUUAACCGGAGACGGAACGAGCGAUCUUUCGCGAGCAUGUGUUCUCUCGCCUAUUCUCGUCGCAGAGAGAAAUCGACGCCGGGGAAAAUGAUCGUCUAUCUUCAAUGCUCGUGGAGAACUUCCUGAACGACGAAUUUCCAAGAACGAUCAAGGGGAGAACGUAAUUUCCAACCGAUUUCUGAUAAAAAGCCGACUUUGCUAGGCAUGCAACCGUGAGAGAAAUGAAAAGGAAAAGAAUGGGGAAGGAAAAAUCCAAGGCAACUAGCACACGUAACGGAUACACCAACGGUGAAAUUGAGAUUGGUUAUCGAGGACUUGCAACACUUUUGGCGGGUGAUAGGAGGAGGAGUGGGCUCAAAUCGGAUAGUUUGUUCAUUAUAGAUACUUUUUCGAUCGCUGGUGGAAGAACAGGGAGUGCAGAGAGCGUUGUAUUUGUCUUGAUAAGUUGAGGAGGCGGGAAAUGAGACUGUCGAUGGUAGAAUGCUUCGUUUCUUGUAAGAUGGUAAGGGUCGAAGCAUCGCGGUAUGAAAUGGGUGUCUCGAUUCAUUUAAUGAACGAGAUCAUCGUUCAUGAUAUUCGAGAAGUAUCUGGAGACUUUACUUUCCUCCUCCCUUCUCCACAAUUCCUACAGACAGAAAUUGUCAUUCCUAUUCCAGAGAUCGUCCAUCUUUUGAAACUUAAAUCGUACAACGAUCGAAUAUAAAAAUAUAAUUGCGAUUCGAUAAUUCGAAAGAGGAAACGGAAGAUGGUUUUCGUUUCCAAACCCUGUCCACAAUCCGUUGAGAAGAAAAGUCGGAUAUUUUCCAGCAUUUUCAUCGCGAUAUAUAUACCGAGGAUAAAAUUCAGCACAAGCGUAACCCGUCUCAUCGUUUUCUGGGAACUACUCGUUUCCACGAUUAUGUCAUCCUCCGACGACUCGUGAAACUUAACUGCUGUCGAAUAGGUUAGUCGUAUCGGGCAUUUCGAGUUCGAAAUUUCCGUUCCCGUCCCCGCAUAAAUAGUGAAAAAGUGAUGGCUUUUGCAUCUCAAAGGCGCGACGGUUGCUUCGAUCUCUCUUUCGCGCGCCCACCACCCUCGAUAGUAUCGAUGACGGGAAUAGAUAACGCGUGAAAUGGACCAGCAGGAAGGGAGACACGUCUGCGAAUUCCGCACGAUAGAACUCGCACACGUACAUCUCUCGUGGACAGAAGGAGGAGGAGGAGGAGGAUAUCGAUUUUCGACCCGAUCGGGGGGGAGACAGUUUUCGCGAGGCUCCUUCUCGUAUCAUGGCAAGACCCGUUUGACCCGGCACACACGCCGUCCAUAGAUCAAGCGGAACCCUUAGGACGAGCCCAACCCCCGUCGUGCCACGGGCUAACCAUUAAUUUACAACCCGCAGAGUAACCCCAUUGCUCGCCACCCCCUGCAUACAAGAUCCCCACGUCCCUUUGCGGCAGAUAUGAGCUACGACGUGGCGUUGAGGGAUUCAACCACCCUUGUUCCCUGCGCCCCCUCGCCUGUCCUUGCUCGUACGCUCCGAACGUCUGAACGUUUCACUGGCGCAGCACCACCUGCCAUAGAAAUUUCCCAGAUCUCUCUCCUCCUCUCUUGAGAGGAAAGAAAAUUUAAAUCUAUCGGGGACACGUCCUGGUUAAUAUCGCGUAACGCGGUGCAGACGGGAACACGGGUUGUCCGGAAGUAAUUGGACCAUUUCCAGGGAUACGUUCUUGCGCUCGUUUAAGGGGUUGGUCAUCUUGUUCCCGGGCGACGGCUCAACAUUGUGGAUAUUAUGCUUUAAAGGGGAUCGAGGGGAGGAGAGGAGAUUCUUGGAUGAUUCUAAGCCUUUUUUUUUUAUACUAUACUAUAUUUUCGUGAAAGAUUUCAAGCGAUUUUUAACUCGAUUCCUGAUAUACUUAAGAAUUAAUUUUAAAUAUUAAUUUAAGAAAACAAAUCAAAGGAUCUUUUCAUUCGUAAAUUUACACAUAUCAAUUCACCGUCGAAUAUUAAAUUAUCAAGAGUUGCCCAAACUGAUCCGAAUUACAAUUAAAUCUCCAGUGUAAUCCAUUUUCAUCGACCUAUAAAUUAACUCUGGUUAAUUUUAUACAUAUUCAAAACUACGUUUCCCAAAUUAAAAGAUCAAACGAAUCUGUCAAAUCGAAAUCUCGAACGGCACCGUCGUGCUCGAACACGUCCGCGAAUAAAUCUCUUUCAGAAGCGGCAAAGAAUGGAAUUCCUAAUUGCCAUUGGACUCUUGGGGAGGUUAUCUCGGCGAGCAUUGAGGAAUAGAAUAGAACGAAAAGGGGGAUCCGCGCUUCGAUUCCAGGGGCUUUAUUUCCGCAUAAUAAGCGGGUGUGAAUAGGCCCGGCUGUUGCUCCCGCUUUAUAACUCGGAGCAAGUUGUCCCGUUUUGUUUCGUUUUGUUGUCCGGCUGCAUCCUACUCUACUGUUUACUUCGCUGUUCUCUCUCUCUCUCUCUGUCUUCGACUCUCGUUCUCGCUUACUCGUUCUCACGGGAAUGAAAGGAAUGAAUAAUUAGAGAGACAGAGAAAGAGAGAGAGAGAGCGGACGGCAGAAAGUUUCUGGCCAAUUAAUUAAACGGAGAGGAGAGCAAGGGAGUGGAGAGUAACCGACGUUAGAGCAAACGGGAUAGGAUAAUUUAAAGAGUCGCGCGACAAUUUAACUGCGAUUAUCGCCCUUACAAUCCCUUUAACAACGCGCCGUUAUAGAAACGCGCCAAUUAGCAGUGUAACUUGGCGUUAAUGAAUUUCGGAUACGGUAAAAGGCAAUAGAACAAGCAGAGAUAAACGUCCCUGGGGGAGGAGGGGGGGAAGGAUAAUUCAAAUGGCGGCCGCGAUGUAGCCGCGGACGUGGCCCGUCGGCAUUUCCAAGGAACCUAACUAAUGAUCACCGUGCGUCUCGUGAUCGUGAAAUAACAGUGGUAAUUUCGACGAGCGGGUUUAUCCGCCGUACAAAACGGCGACCACCUUGUUCACUAAUUUCUUAACCGCGUCGGUUAUUGUAAUCGUUCAGGAUGAAAAUUUAAAUUUACGUGGUUUUGUGCGUGUGCAAUGUAUACGUAAUACGCGUGGUGGUGGGCUGGUUUGUUUGGGUUGAUCGUGACAACCUUCCCUUGUUAUGAAUAACGUCGGUUAUAUCUUAUUAUAAAUAAUGACAGGUUAUAAAUAACAUGCUAACGCGCGUUUCCUUUAUUAUGAAUAACGCACUGCCUACUACGCCGCUCUAUAAAUAACACAUUACGUAUUAUAACGCGUAUUCUCGUCGUAGACACUGAGCAGCCAUUUCAUUUACGCUUCAUCGUGCUUAUAUAUAUUUAAUUUUCUUAUAUUUAUAUAAAGAAUCUGUGUACACAAGUAUAUCGAAAAUACGCGCAGACUGUUUUACGUAUCUGAGAAUUAUUUUCCAUCGAGGAAAAACAUUUCGAGCGAAACUUGUUCCUUUCUUUCUCAAGUGGGACGAUUCUCGAUAGUAAUAAAAUCUUAUUUUACAGAGGAACGCGAAAACUUUGAAGAUUUUUCUGUGUUAUACAGGACUACGUUCGAGCUUGAUAUUUUUUUCACCGAUCUUCUAAAUAAGAAAAGACACAAGAACACAAGAAAAUUGGCGCACACGAUGUUUUCCACGAUGGCCUCGAUUUCGAAAUAUCAACGCCAACAAACUCGUGAAUUAGAAGAACACUGUACACGGUUAAUUGUCAACAGGAUUCAGAAUUCGAAGAGGAAUCGUGUCCAAUUCUGUCUCGAAGAUGCACGUAAAAGCACGUUCCCCGUUCUUAUCCGAUUUAAAAAGCGACGAAGUCAGUUUAAUCGGGACAAAAGAGGAGGAAGAAGAAGAACCGUGACACGGUUUCCACUGACUGGUCGUCUCUUUUCGCCAAAUCAUCGCGAACGAACGGCAAUACACGUUUUUUAUUCUGUGUCGUUUCAGUAUCAAGCAAUGCGUCAAAGUGGUGUGAAUCCUUGAUCCAAUCAGAAUCGCGCAACGGUUCGAACGUUCCUCUCGAUUGCACGUUUGCUUUGAUCACGAGUCGAAAGGUGGGCCGUCUCCUUAUUCACACAGAAACAGCGUGAAUCAUGAAAGCGUGCCACUUCCUGGAACGCAUUAUCUUAAGUACAUCGUGACGAACGUAAUGAACUAUCGAAGCAACAACAGUGUCAACCCGGAAUCUACGAUGUUUCAAGUGCGUCGUAAUAGGCGAAAUUUGUCGUGUAAAUGGAGAGUGGAAAAUAUAUUUAAGAAAUUACGAAAUGAAUAUGAACGUUGAAACGUGGUAGCAACAUUCAAGGAUUAUCAUAUUUAACUUCACAAUUCGCAUGAUACAAUUCGUGUGAAAAUACCUGUUUUUGUGUUACGGCCCCGACAAGCGAAACGUCUAGACGAGCUCGCAAGGUUACCGAGUCACGGUGCAACAAUUUCACUUGGAAACUUAACCAGAACUUUGGACAAUUUGCAUCAGCUGUUAAGAUACAAUUAGAGGAGAAACUGUGCAAAUUGUAACGGAAUCUGAAUUAACGAACUCUUCUCGAAAAUCUCUACGCACGACGACGAGACGUGAAACGCGCCAAAGAAUCUCGGUUUUCGAGUGUUCCAAAGUGUAUAAAGGAGGGACGGCGAGAAAUAUAUAUUCAGCAGAAGAGGUUCAUUUAUUUAUAGACAUGCCAAUCUUCGUGCUGUCAGUUACUCUCGCCUUUCCGUAUUUACCGGUGUUCUCGAUACGAAGAAGAGGAGAAGAACAAGGCAGAAAUUCCCCGCGGAGGCCACACACGGCAAUGACGUCAUCAAUAUCCAGGAGAGAACGGCGAGGAUUAUUUCGGUUUUCUCGCGUCUCGAAGGGGGGGAGGGACCAGGGGCAAAACUUAUUAAAACCAUCGAUAAAUUCCCCCUCCUACCUCUUUCUCUCCGUACGAGCUAUUAAGCUCUUCUCUCGAUUCGAUUGUGGGUUUCGAGCGCCAAUAGCGGAUACCCCGAUGCUUCGUAAAUCGUUCGUCUCGUCGACGAUCAAACAGAUUUACGUUUUCCGCUCGAUUCCCUCGAAACGUUAUUAUUCGACAGAUGUGUGUUCGAGAUGACGGCGUUGAAAGGAGCACGUGAGCAUUUGCCACCAUCAAUACGUGUGUAAAAUGCCUAUGGAAAUACUCUCGAAUUAGAAUAAGAGGCUCGGUCAAUGUUCCCCCAAUGUUUGAAGUAUUUAUGCGUAUAUUCCGAUCCGUUUGUAAUUUCUUCUUACGCUAUCCAGUUACACAAAGAGAUAUAAAGAAGAAGCGAAUAGUGCGCGAUCUUACUUACAACUCGUUAAUCAAACAAGGAAAAAGGAAAAUUCAUAAAUUGCAGAGAAUUGUACAAGAAAACAUCCGCAAUACGAUUAUCCGUAUACUUAAAAUUCUACCAAAUAUCACGAUUUAUUAGAGAUAUUAUAUAUAUAUAUGUGGAAUUAAGGAUUUUCAGGUAUCCGGUAUCCGAAGCUUCGAGCGCACAGCUCUAUUUCGGCAACUCGGCAUUAAUAAUGACACGUAACGUUUAUAGGUACACAGCACGCGCCACGUAUUCGAAGAUGGUAGGCCGAGAUGCGGUGGCCAAGAAUAGACUUAUCAGCCAGAUAAAUGUGACAACGAACGAGCGAGGAGCCUAGCUUUACCUGGGAGCGAUCCCAUGCGCCCAUUAUUUCCUUUCCCCUAUCUACCGCAGAUGCAUCGCACUUAUCAACUCGCCGCUCGCUGCACCUACCUCCCCCGCCUCGCAUCUCCGCGCACGCGGAUUUCGUGCACGUUAUCCUCCCUUCCCCUUCCCGUGUCUAUCGCGGGACAUUAUCAGAAACGAUCGGUCGAAAAUAGGUUAUCGGCGCGCCUCGAAAUUCGAUUGCCAAUUCCUAAGAGAUAUUUUCGAUCCGUCCGAUAACCGGUUUUUAUCCGAUGGAAACGGACGGGAUAUCCCUUCCUGAUCUCUCCCCUUCUCUCUGAAAAUUUUCGCCCCGUGUCUCCUCGUAUUAAUUAUUGGGAAACGUUGGAUCUAAUUUUGAUGCGAAUUUUUAAUUUCGAUCGAUUAAUUUUUAAUCGACCAAUGUGGAGAAACGAUUCGUAAUUGGAAACUUGUGUUAAUAAUUUUAUUUCUAUUCUAAUGUUUUUAGAAAAUAUGAAAAGAAUAUCUGUUUUCCAUCGUUAUCGAAGAAAUCAUUUCCAAUAAGUUUAACUAAUAACUCGAGUUAGUCGGAAUAUAUGCAUCCAUGCUGUACGCCGUUCUUCCCAAGGAUCAAAAUAUAUCCCCGCAAAUUAAUCAUCACUGACCACCGCUCGUAUAUCAACAAGUAAUCGUGACACCCACUUUUCGAUCAUCCUAACAAACCGAUCAUUAUCCUACUAUUGCAAAUUCAUAAAAGCAUAAACGUGAUUGGCAUUCCUCCCCUGUUCUAUCAUCGUAGAGUUGUUAUCGCGGCUAACGAUAUCCCAACGACACUCCUCCCUCCCUUCCUCCCCCAUCGUUGAAUAAUUGUUCCAACGAAUACCGAUAUUACACACCGCUCUACUAAUAUUAUAUAUUCGCGGCCUGUUUUAAUCCGAUUUAUUAGCAUAAUGCGCAAGAAUAGAGCUCGGGUUUGCAUGUUCGCGAUCAUCGAGAGGAAAUUCGAUCACGCGAACGCGGAAUUCCCCUGCUAAUAAGGGAGUCUAGGAAUCCGUCAAACGCCCUCGUAACUCAGGGAGGAAACGAUGCUCUAUAAAAGCAAAGAUUAUAUUCUCGCGUCGUUGUUUCAUCUUGACGCUUCUUCGUUAUCGAUGCAUAAAGACAGCGAGAUAGAAGAAAAAUCCGUGAAUGAUCGAUUUAAAAUUUCGACGCACGUGUAUACGUAAAUUUUAUGGAAAUUUAUUGAUUGUUCGUUAAUGGGGGAUGUUAACGCGUUUCGUUAAAA
This 7601-nucleotide long non-coding RNA is filed under the name Apis mellifera (honey bee). RNAcentral describes it as "uncharacterized LOC102654210". The record is from RNAcentral. Lineage: Eukaryota; Metazoa; Arthropoda; Insecta; Hymenoptera; Apidae.